This 783-nucleotide ribosomal RNA is filed under the name uncultured Actinobacillus sp. Its description in RNAcentral is "bacterial SSU rRNA". It matches the Rfam family "Bacterial small subunit ribosomal RNA", at positions 99 to 880 of the family's 1533-position model. Lineage: Bacteria; Pseudomonadati; Pseudomonadota; Gammaproteobacteria; Pasteurellales; Pasteurellaceae. The record is from RNAcentral.
CGGACGGGUGAGUAAUGCUUGGGAAUCUGGCUUAUGGAGGGGGAUAACUACGGGAAACUGUAGCUAAUACCGCGUAGUAUCGGAAGAUGAAAGUGUGGGACCGCAAGGCCACAUGCCAUAAGAUGAGCCCAAGUGGGAUUAGGUAGUUGGUUGGGUAAAGGCUGACCAAGCCGACGAUCUCUAGCUGGUCUGAGAGGAUGACCAGCCACACUGGAACUGAGACACGGUCCAGACUCCUACGGGAGGCAGCAGUGGGGAAUAUUGCACAAUGGGGGGAACCCUGAUGCAGCCAUGCCGCGUGAAUGAAGAAGGCCUUCGGGUUGUAAAGUUCUUUCGGUGAUGAGGAAGGUGCUUGUUUUAAUAGAACAAGCAAUUGACGUUAGUCACAGAAGAAGCACCGGCUAACUCCGUGCCAGCAGCCGCGGUAAUACGGAGGGUGCGAGCGUUAAUCGGAAUAACUGGGCGUAAAGGGCACGCAGGCGGUGACUUAAGUGAGAUGUGAAAGCCCCGAGCUUAACUUGGGAAUUGCAUUUCAUACUGGGUCGCUAGAGUACUUUAGGGAGGGGUAGAAUUCCACGUGUAGCGGUGAAAUGCGUAGAGAUGUGGAGGAAUACCGAAGGCGAAGGCAGCCCCUUGGGAAUGUACUGACGCUCAUGUGCGAAAGCGUGGGGAGCAAACAGGAUUAGAUACCCUGGUAGUCCACGCUGUAAACGCUGUCGAUUUGGGGAUUGGGCUUUGAGCUUGGUGCCCGUAGCUAACGUGAUAAAUCGACCGCCUGGGGAG